CUGCGAAUGGCUCAUUAUAUAAGUUAUCGUUUAUUUGAUAGUGCCUUACUACUUGGAUAACCGUGGUAAUUCUAGAGCUAAUACAUGCUACAAGCCCUGACUUCGGAAGGGGCGUAUUUAUUAGAUUAAAAACCAACGCCCUCUGGGCUCCUUGGUGAAUCAUGAUAACUUCACGAAUCGCACGGCCUUGCGCCGGCGAUGGCUCAUUCAAAUUUCUUCCCUAUCAACUUUCGAUGUUUGGGUAGUGGCCAAACAUGGUUGCAACGGGUAACGGAGGGUUAGGGCUCGACCCCGGAGAAGGAGCCUGAGAAACGGCUACUACAUCCAAGGAAGGCAGCAGGCGCGCAAAUUACCCAAUCCCGACUCGGGGAGGUAGUGACAAUAAAUACUGAUACAGGGCUCUUUCGGGUCUUGUAAUCGGAAUGAGUACAAUUUAAAUCCCUUAACGAGGAACAAUUGGAGGGCAAGUCUGGUGCCAGCAGCCGCGGUAAUUCCAGCUCCAAUAGCGUAUAUUAAAGUUGUUGUGGUUAAAAAGCUCGUAGUUGAACCUUGGGCCUGGCUGGCCGGUCCGCCUCACCGCGUGUACUGGUCCGGCCGGGCCUUUCCCUCUGUGGAACCUCAUGCCCUUCACUGGGUGUGCAGGGGAAACAGGACUUUUACUUUGAAAAAAUUAGAGUGCUCCAGGCAGGCCUAUGCUCGAAUACAUUAGCAUGGAAUAAUAAAAUAGGACGUGCGGUUCUAUUUUGUUGGUUUCUAGGACCGCCGUAAUGAUUAAUAGGGACAGUCGGGGGCAUCAGUAUUCAAUUGUCAGAGGUGAAAUUCUUGGAUUUAUUGAAGACUAACUACUGCGAAAGCAUUUGCCAAGGAUGUUUU
Molecule: ribosomal RNA, 873 nt
Filed under: Stachybotrys chartarum
Lineage: Eukaryota; Fungi; Ascomycota; Sordariomycetes; Hypocreales; Stachybotryaceae
Description: SSU rRNA
Rfam family: Eukaryotic small subunit ribosomal RNA
Source: RNAcentral